This 241-nucleotide long non-coding RNA is filed under the name Manihot esculenta (cassava). RNAcentral describes it as "long non-coding RNA (MESC_LNC007443)". The record is from RNAcentral. Lineage: Eukaryota; Viridiplantae; Streptophyta; Magnoliopsida; Malpighiales; Euphorbiaceae.
CUUAUCGGAAGAGAUUUGACUUUGUGGCUCUUGCACCUCGAGACUAUACCGCUACGCCUGGUGGCUCAUGCUCCUAUAGGUUGAUGUUGCCUGAGAUUUGCACUGCCUCCUUCAUCUGUGUUCGAUUCUAUGUUAAACCUGCUUUAUUCUUAGUUUUCUCUUUUGUCAAAUAGUUGUAUACAUGUCUAUUGUGUGUCUUUUAUUAUUUUUCUUAUUGAGUGGUGUUGUCAGGAUUUUAUCG